RNAcentral lists this long non-coding RNA (809 nucleotides) under Helianthus annuus (common sunflower). RNAcentral's name for it is "hypothetical non coding rna". Lineage: Eukaryota; Viridiplantae; Streptophyta; Magnoliopsida; Asterales; Asteraceae. The record is from RNAcentral.
UUCCUAGGGUUUUGAACAAGUUAACCUCUCCCCAAAAUUGACCGUCACGUUCCAUAUCUCCCAACAGGGCUUAGCAAUUCGCGGCUAUUUGAUUUUGAAGAACUGAUCCUACUUUCGUGAUUGCCAUAAAUACAGAUCACAUAUUUGGUUGGAAUUCAUGUUUUGGAGUUGAGUAACUGGUGCACAAAUUGGAAAGAAAUGAGUCAAUUUUGGAUUGUGGUGAGAAGAUCAAGUUACUUGUUGACAAGACAGAAACCUUCAAUUUCAGAUUGAAAAGCUGAACUUGGCUGUGAAGAAGAAGAUCAUCAAGCAAAAAGGAAAAAGAGGAAGACCAAGAAAGGUUAAAUGGGGUGAAAGUGAGGUUGUUGGCCGAAAAAGAUAAGGUGGAUAAAGAAGCUAUGCUCAAUAAGAUGACACAAAUUGAAGAUAUGUUAACAGCUACGGUUCGAAGAUAGGCUAUAAACACUAGGUUUUGAAUGUUGAGAUGUUUAUCAUAUAGGAUAAUUACGGUUAUUUGAUGUUUAGUUGAUAUUUUUAUUAGAAUGUUUUAUAUGAUUUUCAAAUAGGAAAAACUAAAUCAGAGAUGUUUUAUAUAGUUUUUGGGGUUUGUAAUUUUAUUAGAGUGUUUAAUACAGUUCUGUAAUUUUAAUGAAGAAAUGUAAAAACUGUAAAGCAGGUCUUGAAACAAAACGGAAAUGAUACCUGUUAACCUAAAAAUUCAAUGAAAAAGAACUUUAAAUGGUAGCAAAAUUUCAAUGAAAGCGGUGGCUAAAUGGUGGCAAUACCCGAGGCUAUAUGCUACCAAAAUG